This 435-nucleotide ribosomal RNA is filed under the name uncultured bacterium. RNAcentral's name for it is "partial 16S ribosomal RNA". It matches the Rfam family "Bacterial small subunit ribosomal RNA", at positions 29 to 507 of the family's 1533-position model. The record is from RNAcentral.
AACGAACGCUGGCGGCAGGCUUAACACAUGCAAGUCGAACGCAUGCCUUCGGGCAUUAGUGGCCGACGGGUGGGUAACGCGGGGGAACCUACCCCUGGGUACGGUAUAGCUCCGGGAAACUGGAGAUAAUACCGUAUGUGUCCUGAGGGACAAAGAUUCAUCGCCACGGGAUGGGCCCGCGUCGGAUUAGCUAGUUGGUGGGGUAACGGCCUCCCAAGGCGACGAUCCGUAGCUGGUCUCAGAGGAUGAUCAGCCACAUUGGGACUGAGACACGGCCCAAACUCCUACGGGAGGCAGCAGUGGGGAAUAUUGGACAAUGGGCGCAAGCCUGAUCCAGCCAUGCCGCGUGAGUGAUGAAGGCCCUAGGGUUGUAAAGCUCUUUCACCGGUGACGAUAAUGACGGUAACCGGAGAAGAAGCCCCGGCUAACUUCGUG